GAUGAACGCUAGCUACAGGCUUAACACAUGCAAGUCGAGGGGAAACGACAUCGAAAGCUUGCUUUUGAUGGGCGUCGACCGGCGCACGGGUGAGUAACGCGUAUCCAACCUGCCCAUCACUUGGGAAUAACCUUGCGAAAGUAAGACUAAUACCCAAUGACAUCCCACGAAGACAUCUGAAUGGGAUUAAAGAUUUAUCGGUGAUGGAUGGGGAUGCGUCUGAUUAGCUUGUUGGCGGGGUAACGGCCCACCAAGGCAACGAUCAGUAGGGGUUCUGAGAGGAAGGGCCCCCACAUUGGAACUGAGACACGGUCCAAACUCCUACGGGAGGCAGCAGUGAGGAAUAUUGGUCAAUGGGCGAGAGCCUGAACCAGCCAAGUAGCGUGCAGGAUGACGGCCCUAGGGGUUGUAAACUGCUUUUAUAAGGGAAUAAAGUGGGUCUCGGGAGACUUUUUGCAUGUACCUUAUGAAUAAGGACCGGCUAAUUCCGUG
Molecule: ribosomal RNA, 492 nt
Filed under: uncultured bacterium
Lineage: Bacteria
Description: partial 16S ribosomal RNA
Rfam family: Bacterial small subunit ribosomal RNA
Source: RNAcentral